GCCAGAGCUCAAGAUCUUUUGUUUCAG
This 27-nucleotide small RNA is filed under the name Bombyx mori (domestic silkworm). Its description in RNAcentral is "ovarian small RNA-16600". The record is from RNAcentral. Lineage: Eukaryota; Metazoa; Arthropoda; Insecta; Lepidoptera; Bombycidae.